CAGAAGAAAUAUUUUUCUCAAAAACUUACAUGCUUUCAGCAGAUAAUGAUAUAGAAGAGUCGCUUGCAAUGGUGAGAGAAAAAGGUUUCAUAUCACUAAACCAACGUUGUGACGCAGUUGUUCACUUUCUGGCCAUAAAAGGAAAUGUUGCUGCUCUUACAGCACUUAUUGAAGAAGGUCUUCUUAGUAUAGAAGCACUUAGAAAGAAGAAUGUCAAAGGAUGAACAGCAUUGCACGAAGCCGCGAGAUAUGGACAGAAGGAGGUGACAGAAAUAAUGGUAAUGCAAGACAUUGAUUUAGUUCAUUUAAAGGAUGAAGUUGGGGAAACGCCAUUGUACAUUGCAGCUGAAUAUGGGAAGGAUGAAGUUUUUAGACUUCUAGAGGAUUUUGGGAGUGAUUGCUUCGCUAAGAGAAAUGAUGGUUGCACUGUUCUUCACGCUGCUAAGAAAUGGGUUGAUUUCUUAAUUUAUCGAUUUCCGAUAUCAACUUUCAGAAUAAAUGAUUCAGUACUACGAUUCUUUUUCUAUAUCCUCCUGAUUCCCUUUAAAAUUUUGACAAUAAAGUUUAGACUAGAAGCUUUACUCGAUCUCCUACGUACUUACAAUUAUUAUUUUGUGUUGAGAAGCUAUCCCAGAAAUGUAUAUCGAAUCUGAAAAUGUUGUGAAUCUGGACGAGCAACAUGAUUUAAGAGAUGGUGGUAUCAUCAAACGACAAAGGUCAUCAAGGUUGCAAGCAAUUUUAGGUCUUCGAUGGUUGAGAAGAAUUGAUAGUGAGAAACAAAAACAUGGACUAGCUUUGUUACUAGCAGAAAGAUUAAUAUGGAAAGAAGAUUGGAGUUGUUAUACUCAUUUUGAUUCUCCAACAAAACCUAUAUAUGAUCAUUAAUCCCCUAAUACAAGCCACAAAACUGGGCAUUACCGAAUUGGUCACUGCAAUCUUAAAAGCACGACCUCAAGUUUCUGAUUCACUAGACGAAAAUGGAAGGAACAUUUUGCAUAUAGCAGUGGAACGAAAACAUUUACGUAUAUAUGAAUAUUUGAAGAAAAAACUUGGUCAUGACAAGGAUAGAAUGUUGGCAGAAGUUGAUAAAUAUGGGAACAACAUACUUCAUUUAGCAUCAAGUUUGGGAAUUCCAUCUACUCACUCUUCAGUUGUGCCAGUGGAAGAGUUUAAUACUGAUAUAGCACGUGAGAUGUGUUGGGACAUAUAUUGG
Non-coding RNA from Nicotiana tabacum (common tobacco), 1213 nucleotides. The record is from RefSeq and is a predicted model, not a curated record. Lineage: Eukaryota; Viridiplantae; Streptophyta; Magnoliopsida; Solanales; Solanaceae.